Anas platyrhynchos (mallard) is the source of this 1151-nucleotide long non-coding RNA. RefSeq lists it as uncharacterized. NCBI's taxonomy places the organism in Eukaryota, Metazoa, Chordata, Aves, Anseriformes, Anatidae. The record is from RefSeq and is a predicted model, not a curated record.
CUUCAGGUAGGAGUAUGGGUUAUUCAGAGCCGUGUGAAGUGCAACCCUGGGGGCAGCGUUCAAGUGCUCGCGAAGAAUGCUGGCUGUGUUGAAAUACACUAUCUCAUGCAGCGUCUUGUGGUCUGCAGGAACAAGGUGGUAGAAGAGUACACAUUGUCUGCAACACAUACAGAGGGUUCCAGAUGCGGGAAAGUCAACCUGCCAAUUCUCUUGCUGAUCUGUCCAUCUGCCUCCUCCUACAAACUCCUUCCUGCUGACUGAUGAAGUACCAUCCCCACCACUAAAAAUAAGACGUGCUGUUCCUCUCUGCCCAUAAUAAGAAAGAAUCUGUCUCCAUUUGGGAAGCAGAGGGCAAACCAGUAGAAGAGAACAUAUAGAGAAAGAGUAGAUACUUGUUCAGAUGCCAUACCAUGAAACAACAAAACAUGCUUCACUAAAAUGGAGUAACACUACCUCACCUGCUUGCCCAAAGGAUACUUUGGAAGUGAAGACGUGAAAACAUGAAGACAUCUCAGAACUGGAAAAUAAUUUUCAUGAUAAACAUUCAGGUCCUCCAGCAACUUCUGUACUGUUUCCUACAGUGACAGAAUAAUUGCUUUGUAAGUCAUUCUGACAAUCAUUUGUUUAAAACUCUCACGAAGUACUUAAAAUGACUCUUGGGUUUUGACAUUCUGAUGUGCUGUGACUUAAAUCCCCAGUGUGAAAUUACGACCACCAUGUAGAAAAGUUCUAUUUCAACAGUUCGCUGCAAUCACGCUGCAUAUUUUAAACUUUACCUUCCUCUUCCAUCUCACUGAAGAGUUGUUAUUGAUUAGCAUUAUUAUCUUAUCAUUUGCAACUAUAUUUAGCUGUUGUUUGGCGUGUCAUCUCACAACAAACAGGACUACACUUUUAAUAUGCACUGAGAAAUUAUAUAGCUAAAUUUAUUCAAAUCCUUGCUAUUUGCAUUUUUAUAUUACAAAUACAUUUAAAAAUAUAUUUGUUACAUUAUGAGUGCUUCCUGUUUUUACUAGUGAGGUAUACAUAAAAAGAAAAUUUCAUAGGAAAACAUUGUAGAGUUGCUGCUUCUAUGUGCUCUUAAGUUGGCUUGCUUAUUCAUAGAUUGAGAUCUUCAGAAAAAAAAAAAUAAAUCAUGUAUUAGGAAAAAGAAA